CCUACGGGAGGCAGCCGUGGGGGAUAUUGCACAAUGGGGGGAACCCUGAUGCCGCGACGCCGCGUGAGGGAAGACGGCCUUCGGGUUGUCAACCUCUGUCGCAGGGGACGAAGGAGAUGACGGUACCCUGUGAGGAAGCCACGGCUAACUACGUGCCAGCAGCCUCUGUAAUACGUAGGUGGCGAGCGUUGUACGGCAUUACUGGGUGUAAAGGGGACGUAGGCGGGAUAUUAAGUUGAAUGUAUUAACUACCGGCUUAACCGAUAGAAGCGUUCAAAACGGAUAUUGUUGAGUGAAGUAGAGGCAGGCGGAAUUCCUAGUGUAGCGGUGAAAUGCGUAGAUAUUAGGAGGAACACCAGUGGCGAAGGCGGCCUGCUGGGCUUUAAUUGACGCUGAGGCUCGAAAGCGUGGGUAGCAAACAGGAUUAGAUACCCGAGUAGUC
Molecule: ribosomal RNA, 442 nt
Filed under: uncultured bacterium
Lineage: Bacteria
Description: partial 16S ribosomal RNA
Rfam family: Bacterial small subunit ribosomal RNA
Source: RNAcentral